GACGAACGCUGGCGGCGUGCCUAAUACAUGCAAGUUGAGCGCUGAAGGUUGGUACUUGUACCAACUGGAUGAGCAGCGAACGGGUGAGUAACGCGUGGGGAAUCUGCCUUUGAGCGGGGGACAACAUUUGGAAACGAAUGCUAAUACCGCAUAAAAACUUUAAACACAAGUUUUAAGUUUGAAAGAUGCAAUUGCAUCACUCAAAGAUGAUCCCGCGUUGUAUUAGCUAGUUGGUGAGGUAAAGGCUCACCAAGGCGAUGAUACAUAGCCGACCUGAGAGGGUGAUCGGCCACAUUGGGACUGAGACACGGCCCAAACGCCUACGGGAGGCAGCAGUAGGGAAUCUUCGGCAAUGGACGAAAGUCUGACCGAGCAACGCCGCGUGAGGGAAGAAGGUUUUCGGAUCGUAAAACUCUGUUGGUAGAGAAGAACGUUGGUGAGAGUGGAAAGCUCAUCAAGUGACGGUAACUACCCAGAAAGGGACGGCUAACUACGUG
RNAcentral lists this ribosomal RNA (497 nucleotides) under uncultured bacterium. Its description in RNAcentral is "partial 16S ribosomal RNA". It matches the Rfam family "Bacterial small subunit ribosomal RNA", at positions 28 to 507 of the family's 1533-position model. The record is from RNAcentral.